Molecule: long non-coding RNA, 569 nt
Organism: Dreissena polymorpha
Lineage: Eukaryota; Metazoa; Mollusca; Bivalvia; Myida; Dreissenidae
Exons: 3
Source: RefSeq, a predicted model, not a curated record
UGGGCCAAAAUGGGGGCAGCUGGAGAGACUCGCCCGGAACUGACAAGCCUGGAGGAAGCUGGUUGGCGAGAUGGGACAACAGGCGAAGAAUAAAUGAACCUACUUGAUUUGAUAAACAUUUUUAUAUUUUCCAGUUUCUCCUCACAACAAUUUGCAUCAAACUUCUUGUCUGUUUGGCAGACAAAACAUGCUGAUCAAAAAGAAUGUGUACCACAGGGGCCAGUGUUUCCAUUUGAGUGAUUGACAAGAAGAAGAGAUGAGAAAUGUUAUCAUCAUAUUUUACACUCUACAUUUAUAGUGUACAGCUCAAUGUAUUGAACUGGUGUUGUAGAAUAUAAUUGGAGAUACAUGCGAACAUUAUAACAUUAUAUAUAAGAUGAUAUUUCAAAAGCAAUAAGAAAGAAAAAGUAUAAAAGGUCAAAACAGUAGACCUUGUGUUUACAGUGGAUAGGCUUAAAGUGGAAGUGACUAGUUAACUGUUGAUCAUAAGCUGCACUGAUGGAAAAAAUAGUGGGAAAUUACUAUGUAGAAAACUGUUUAACGUACGACAACAGUUGUGGAACUUUAUA